GCUCGCGCUGCCUCAGGCCGCGGCGGGAGAGCGGCCGGGCGCGGCCCCGCCGGCAGCGAGGGACGCCGCACCCCCAGGGCAAAGGCUGCGGCCCUCAGCAGUGGUUUACCAAAUCCUAAGUUUUGAUCAUGUGUCAGAGCCUGUUGACACACCAGAACUGGACACUUUACAGAGAUCUUCGGUCAAAUGCCAGCCUUCAGAGCACAGAUUCAUGCCUAGAAGGACAAGUUUCCCACGGAAAGCUGCCCUCCAGGAAGGACAGCAAAAGAGAUGGAGGGACCACAUAUGACAAAAUCUGAUCCUUUGGGUUUGAUUUCCCUCUGAGCUGACUGAGUGACUGUGCAUCCGUGUGCACCUAGCCUGUUAAUGAAGGCUCAUUCUGCUUCAACAGAGAAACAAAAAAAUGCAACAAAACACAUCUCUCCUCCAAACUGAUAGUUUUUCUGAUCGUGGCUUCAGAGACAACAGAUCCAGCCCACAUGAUGACCCUGAAUAGAUCAGCUCACUGAAAGGCAGGACACGUUUCUUUGAAACCUUAAUAUAAAUUAAAUGAGACAAAAUAAAUGCAGUGGCCAGAUAAUAGCACCAAGAAGAAUGGCAGAACAUUGAGGUUUAAUGGCCACAUGUUACAUGAAUAAUUCACUUGAACAAACCUAUGGAUGUGAGUAUUUAGGUUAAGGAUCUGGCUCAAAAAAACCAAAAGAAGAAAUAUAAGCAGGUUCUUAUUCAUAAUAACUCACUUCAAGCAAAAAGUCUGGAUAACCAUCUUCUCCAAAACAAGCUUAUGCUAGAAAUUAAUCUGCUUUUAGCUAGCACCAAAACCUACUACAGGGAGAAGUGCUAUAGAGCUCAUCAGCUGAGAAUUCAGUGGGACUCAAAAGGCAUCCUUAAAGCUGCUGUUCCCAGACACAUUCAGUGGCUUGAAGAAAACACAAUUUAAAAAAAUCAAUUGCAUGAGUAGCAGAAAAGGCCCUAGACAUGAGAGGUCCAACAGAAGCCAGGCCAGCUGCAAUGCCACCCUCCCUCUAUCCAACGGGAGAUAGGUCAUGUUGUCCUGAACACCUGGGGAUGGGUAACAUCCCUAGAGAGGAUAUUGUUAGGUACUAAGGUGUGCAACUGCAGUGAUGUGGGAAAUAGAAAGAGUAAAGUCCUGCUCUGGUUCUGCAGCAAGGUUAUUUUUAUAUAUAUAUUUAUAUAUCUAAAGACCAAACUGUUACCUUUAACUGAGCAUUAGAGAUAGGGACACAACAUCCCUAACUACCCAUAAGAGAGCAUAAAAUGCAUUUAGAAACACCACAAAAACAUUCAGAAAAUAAAAAGCCAUUUAGCAGGUGGCUAGAUUCUGAGAGAAACUGCUUUAUUUCCAUCACAUCCUAAACUGGAAAUACUCCUAAAAUGCAGUAGUCAUUUGCUUGAAUGGACUAUGGACAACAUCGCAUGUUGCACUGAGGAAUUGAGGAAUAACCCUAGACUCUGGCAGAAGUGCCUGCAAUCAUGUGGCCUGUCUGAAAGCAAAUGAUUUUUAAAGCAGUUUGAUCUUGCCAGAGGUGAGAAAUCUCCAUUUCCCACUCUGCCCCUUCCCUACAGAAACUCUGCAGUGCACGCUCCUCUAAAGGGUUGUUCUGCAUUUUUUAUCAGGAAAGUGAGACAGUCAUGAGGGCCUGCAGUCAUUCCUCAGCCACCAGGAGAAAGUUCAGCCUUGCUUUCAUCAGAGUGAAAGGAAAGGGACUGGAGGGAGAAAGGAAUAGCACUAGAGGGAGAGAUCAUACAAGAAUGUCCAACUAUCCAUUUUGCCUCUCACAUUUUCUGUCACUACAGUCUCCUCUUUGCCCUUAAAUAACGUUUACACAAAGAGUUAGGCCCUUUACAUUAAGGGUACAAAUUAAAUGCAAAGUCUAACGUUCCAGUUCCUCGUGCACCAGGCUUAUAACUCUGGGCUGUCUUGAUCAAUGGUGGUAGAAAUAUAUGCAAACAUACGUGAGAUAAUCCCCACAACCAGCACUGUGCUUAUGCAUCGUCAGGUUGAUUCUGUUUCCUCACAGAGCAGGUAGGAUCAGCCUUUGAAAUGACACAUAUUUCACCAAGGAAGCAAAACAUCUGAAAAGAAUGUCCUUACUGCACAAAUUAAGGCCUAUGGUCAUUAACAGUCAUAAGACUAAAACUACUGAGAUCUUCAUCUGAUUAAGUGUGAACUUCAGAUCUUGGUAACCCUGUAAAACAUGUGAAGUACCAAAACUCUAGUUGCAGGUAUUUUUAAGAUUCAAAGACAAGCUUUUAACUGGUACAGACAGAAAGAUUUGUUUCUUUUGUGAGUUAGCAACAAGUCAGAUAUAGGCUUGUAUCAAGUAUCCUGUGAACACCAAGACACGGUCACACACCCGUCAUGUAAAAAUUAACCUAUUUUGGCUAAACUCAUAACAAAACCUAAACAUCUUACUCUGAGGCAAAACAGUAAAUCUACUACAGUUAUACUCUACAGUCUUUCAGCUUGUUUCAAAGCCCUUGUAUUUAAAAGACAAGUUAAGAAUUGGUCCAUAUAGGCACUAGGAGUUCCCCGUUCAUCUGCACAUACUAGAGAAGUGCAUAUACACACUCAUCCCUAUGUUGAGGUGACACUAGCUCACUCCCAUUAGCAUCAGGGAAACAUUUCAAGGGACAUCUGCUUUUCUGAACAGAGUAUCUUGGAAGGUUUCAAACAGAAAAGAAACCCAACCAAACAAAAAGCCUGACAAAACUGAAUAAAUUAUUUUCCUCUCAGGACAGCAAACCCAUUCUGUAACAAUCAGGGGCUCAGGUCAAGUCUCCUUUACAAUACUUAAGUUUUAAGGCUUUAAAAGAGAAUUAAAGUAAGUGGGGGUGGGAAAAUGGAAGGUGAAAUGGGUAGAAAAGAAAUGGAAGAUGAUUAAGAGAAAUUGUCGGGGUUCUUGGUGCUGCAUGGUUGAGGCUAUGGCCUCUGACAAGAGGCCUGCAGACAGAGACCAGGGAAUGCAGCUGCUUAGUUAUUUAGCCUCCCUCCAGGCAAUCAGGUAGUAGAAGCAGCACUAAUAAGAUGAUGCAGGGUGAAGGACCAACACAUACAAUACAUAAAUAUGUUAAUGCAGUUACUGAAGUCAGUUUUUCUGCAGCCUGUAUAUGGUUUCAAAAUUAAUCCAUUCCUUUUACACAAGAGAAGCACAUUAAUCUUUCUUAAUUAGGGAGAAAGCAGGGCUAGCUUAAAAAUAAAAGUAUGGUUAAUUCUGAAGUCCUCUCUGUGCCCCACUCUGGUGCAAUCUGGUGAAGUACUUCCUCUAACACUGUUUCUGACUCGUGGGAAUGUAUUUGUGAAGUACCCGACUGGAAAUUCAAUAGAACAGCUUGUACUAUUUUCUUAGUCUGUCCAAGCACAGAUCUGCAGACAUAAGCAGGCACACAAAUAGAAUUCUACAUAUCAGUCAGUGUUUUCAUUAAAACAUCUCUGGGAUUCCCUUCAACUCAACAUCAGACAACUUCUCCCUGUUCUAGAACAAUGGAGUGCAAAUGGACCUCCUCAGAGAGUCAGAAGAACAAGAGAAAACACACUACUCGAAAAUCAAGCAUAUCCUUUUACUGACUGCAUCAAUGGGUUUUAAAAGGUGUUACCCGCAGUUAACAUCUGUCACACUUACUCUCAGCUUUAGUUACUUUACAUUACUCAUCUUUCAUUUGCUACCUUUUUCUUCAUUUGCUCUUGAAAGCAAAAAAAUAAAAGUGAGCAAUGCACUAAGGCUGGGAAGUUCCUCUGUAAUGACAGAAUUGCUGCUGCAGGGAUGAUAAAUCCAAAUAUGCUACUAUGCAAAACGCUGCGAAUCUGAAUUUCCAAAAGGCCUGACCCCAAGUGAGUGUGGAUCUCUGUGCAUUGCUGCUGAUCGCGAGCUCUACAAUCAAAUAAACCACAACAGAACUAGAGACGUUCUCGAUUCCAUUAGAGACAGAAACACACACCAGAUAGUGCUGCCUGUAUCACAGCCUGGAAAACCAGUACAUUUGGAAGUUUGGAAACUGUCUGAUUGAAUGACCUGAGUCUUCUGUGUUGUUAAUUUCUGUUCUGACAGAAGCAAAAGUUGACAGAUCAUCCUGCAAGUGCUAGGAAUAACUUCCAGCUUCUCUAUGCUUUGAUAAGACAACAUAUCUGAGAAACAUCAUUGUUCUGUGCUACUCACUGCAUGCUGCUUCUGAUUCAUCAGAUCCAUCGGGACAUUCUUCUUCUCCGUCACAUUUCCACCUGGCUGGGAUGCAGUGGCCAUUGUCACAAGUGAAAUCUGACUCAGCACAAGUUUUCUUUGCUGCAAGAAAAAAAAGAAAAGUACUUGGCAUGAAUAUAAGCAAUGCAGAAGACCUCCAGUGCAUCUAAUCCCAAUAAGGACACUACUGAUUUCCCUGUAUUUAGGAGUUUCAUGUCACAUUCAUCAUCACUUCUUCAUGACAGAGUCAAACAGGUAUCAAAGAUGGAUGCUGCUUCUCACUGUAAAUCCCUCCAUUAUUUAAUUUGGAUUCAUUUUUCUGUGUUGUUUUCCAGACAUUCAAUAGUCAGGGGUGUUUUUUCAAAAUAUUUUUCUAAGGUUUUUCCUACAAAAAGCUGCUGCCUCCCCAAAACUGAAAGAUCAGGUAAGACAAACAAGUCUCACCUUUGGAGUACUAAAAAUGUUUUUAUCUUUGCAAUGUGUUUAUGGCUUUUUAGUACAUCUGUCACCAUAGUAGAUUAUAAUAAAGCACUCCUCCAAACACUAGAAAUCAUUUCAUGAAAUGUCAACCACUCCAUGCUCUUGGCUUUGCUUGCAUUAAUCUAAAGCUUGAAAUAGAUGCAAGACAUGAACUCAAGCAAUUAAUUGGUCUAUUCCUCUGUGCCAGAGGCACAGCACAAACACUGCCUUGUAAUACUUGUCAGCAUCUUUGCACUGCAGCUCAAAGAAAAUAAACUACAGAUAUCUGUCCCUUUCA
Molecule: long non-coding RNA, 4956 nt
Organism: Colius striatus (speckled mousebird)
Lineage: Eukaryota; Metazoa; Chordata; Aves; Coliiformes; Coliidae
Exons: 5
Source: RefSeq, a predicted model, not a curated record